CCUGGCUCAGCCUCCGGAGUAGCUGAGACUAUAGGCGUCCGCCACCUCGCCCGGCUAGUUUUUUUGUAUUUUUUAGUAGAGACGGGUUUCACCAUGAUAGCCAGGAUGGUCUCGAUCUCCUGACCUCGUGAUCCGCCCGUCUCGGCCUCCCAAAAUGCUGGGAUUACAGGCUUGAGCCACCGCGCCCGGCCCUUUUCGCAUUUUCUUUAGAUUCAGCCCAGGGUCAGAAAUCCAGGCUCCUUUGCCCAUCUAAUAAGAAAGAAUGAAAGUUGAAAGCCACUCUCAGAAAUGGACAUGUAAGGAGACAUACCCAGAUCUGCAUUAUAGAAACAAAUGUUAAAGAAACAAUGCUGAAUAUUGGCUCAUAGAGACGAAGCAAAGAGAAGGGAGGAUUACUAAAGUAUAUAAUUUCAGUGUAGUUAUACAAGGUAAGUUUAUAUUAAAAAUGGGACUCUUUAAUAAACAUUUAGUAAAUAGCACAUUAAAAUGU
This 490-nucleotide long non-coding RNA is filed under the name Rhinopithecus bieti (black snub-nosed monkey). Its description in RNAcentral is "lncRNA (ENSRBIG00000045283.1)". The record is from RNAcentral. Lineage: Eukaryota; Metazoa; Chordata; Mammalia; Primates; Cercopithecidae.